CCUACGGGUGGCAGCAGUGGGGAAUAUUGCGCAAUGGGCGAAAGCCUGACGCAGCGACGCCGCGUGAGGGAUGAAGGUCUUCGGAUCGUAAACCUCUGUCAGCAGGGAAGAACGGUCACUGUGCUAAUCAGCAGUGAAUUGACGGUACCUGCAAAGGAAGCACCGGCUAACCCCGUGCCAGCAGCCGCGGUAAUACGGAGGGUGCGAGCGUUAGUCGGAAUUACUGGGCGUAAGGGGCUCGUAGGCGGUAUGUCAAGUCAAGGGUGAAAGCCCCGCGCUCAACGGGGGGACUGCCUGUGAAACUGGGAAACUGGAGUGUGGGAGAGGAUAGUGGAAUUCCAGGUGUAGGAGUGAAAUCCGUAGAUAUCUGGAGGAACAUCAGUGGCGAAGGCGACUAUCUGGCACAUAACUGACGCUGAGGAGCGAAAGCGUGGGUAGCAAACAGGAUUAGAUACCCGGGUAGUC
This 465-nucleotide ribosomal RNA is filed under the name uncultured bacterium. RNAcentral's name for it is "partial 16S ribosomal RNA". It matches the Rfam family "Bacterial small subunit ribosomal RNA", at positions 338 to 795 of the family's 1533-position model. The record is from RNAcentral.